AAUGUUUUUGUGAACGUUUAUUUUUUUGAUAAAGUUCUUUGCUUUUAUUUUUUAAUUUUUCAUUUGGAAAGCCGGAAAAUGUGAUGGUUAUUAUUAUCCGAUUAUGUCAAUUUGUCUUAGUUUAAUCUGCUGCUGAUCCUUGGGUGAUAUUCUAUUUUGCUUUUAAAUUCAAAUAUAAUCUUCUUUUACAUAUAACUUAUAAAUUGUAAUUUAUUGUAUCCCAUGUAACUGUUGUGGUAAUAGUCUUAUUAUUUUCAUUUAUAUAAUGUUUUAAUUUUUAAAUCUUGUAACUUCAAAUAAUAUAAUUUGGUACAUAUGUGAUUCAAUGGAAUCAUAUGAUAAAAGUAGCUAUUAGUGCAAUUUAAUAGGAGAGAUGAAUAUAUUGUGUUUACAAGUUUUAUUCCAUACUUUCGAUGGGUUUUUCCAAAUAACUAUGGGGAGACAUCCUAUAGUUGUUCCAUAGGAACAGAACUAUGUAGACAUACUUUUGAAUGAUCUCUUAUUGGGCCAGUUGUGUAUGCUGAGCAGGGAGUUAUGAAAGCAAUUAAUGUGAACAAACUGACUUCUGCUGGCUGCAAAGUUAAAAUUUGGAUCGCAGAUUGAUUUGCACAGUUAAAUAAUAAAAUGGGGGUGACUUGAAGAAAAUCCAAGUAAUAAGACAGUAUCUGAUUGAGAUUUGGAAAGUUGUAGGGGUGAAUUUAAAAGGAGGUCAGGUGGAAUUUCUUUGGUCUUUCGAAGAGAUCAACACCAGGGCUCAUGAAUACUGGCCUCUUGUAUUGGACAUUGCUAGGAGGAAUAAAUUUCCUAGAAUAUUGAGGUAUACAGUUAUUUAC
This 833-nucleotide long non-coding RNA is filed under the name Olea europaea subsp. europaea. The record is from RNAcentral. Lineage: Eukaryota; Viridiplantae; Streptophyta; Magnoliopsida; Lamiales; Oleaceae.